This 28-nucleotide small RNA is filed under the name Bombyx mori (domestic silkworm). RNAcentral's name for it is "ovarian small RNA-10884". Lineage: Eukaryota; Metazoa; Arthropoda; Insecta; Lepidoptera; Bombycidae. The record is from RNAcentral.
AAUUGGGUGCAAAAUGGUAUAAUCAUUA